RNAcentral lists this long non-coding RNA (286 nucleotides) under Elaeis guineensis (African oil palm). RNAcentral's name for it is "long non-coding RNA (EGUI_LNC042090)". The record is from RNAcentral. Lineage: Eukaryota; Viridiplantae; Streptophyta; Magnoliopsida; Arecales; Arecaceae.
AUAACCUUUUAGUUUUAGAUGCAAUCCUUACUAUUAGAUUAAGCAUAAAAAUUAGAUCUAAUAAGAGCAUAAAAAUUAGAUCUAAUGCUAUACAUGCUGAUCAUACUGAAAAGUUAAAAUCUAGAUCUAAUCUAACUUUAGUUGCAUGCAUCAAUCAGAUCUAAUCCCUUUUUAAUUCAAAUAUAAAUAUAAAUCAGAUCUAAUUUGAUUUAGAUCUACUCCUAAUCUUAGAUGCAUGAUCUUUGCAACCUGGCUCUGAUACCAGUUGAAGGAACGACCACAUGCC